AGCAGCCGCGGUAAUUCCAGCUCCAAUAGCGUAUAUUAAAGUUGUUGCAGUUAAAAAGCUCGUAGUUGAAUUUCGGAAUCUGUCCAUCGGUCGGGCUUCACUGUCCGUACUGGUGUGGUGGGUUCUUACCUUCUGAAUAACCAGCAUGCCAUUCACUUGGUGCGCUGGGGAAGCAGGACUAUUACCUUGAAAAAAUUAGAGUGCUCAAAGCAGGCUAGUGCCUGAAUACAUUAGCAUGGAAUAAUAAAAUAGGACGGCAUGGUUCUAUUUUGUUGGUUUCUAGGAUCACCGUAAUGAUUAAUAGGGAUAGUUGGGGGCAUUAGUAUUCAAUUGUCAGAGGUGAAAUUCUUGGAUUUAUUGAAGACUAAACUUCUGCGAAAGCAUUUGCCAAGGAUGUUUUCAUUAAUCAAGAACGAAAGUUAGGGGAUCGAAGACGAUCAGAUACCGUCGUAGUCUUAACCAUAAACUAUGCCGACUAGGGAUCGGACGAUGUUAAUUUUUUAAUGACUCGUUC
RNAcentral lists this ribosomal RNA (514 nucleotides) under uncultured Acaulospora. RNAcentral's name for it is "SSU rRNA". It matches the Rfam family "Eukaryotic small subunit ribosomal RNA", at positions 569 to 1081 of the family's 1831-position model. The record is from RNAcentral. Lineage: Eukaryota; Fungi; Glomeromycota; Glomeromycetes; Diversisporales; Acaulosporaceae.